Molecule: signal recognition particle RNA, 216 nt
Filed under: Chlorocebus sabaeus (green monkey)
Lineage: Eukaryota; Metazoa; Chordata; Mammalia; Primates; Cercopithecidae
Description: Metazoan signal recognition particle RNA
Rfam family: Metazoan signal recognition particle RNA
About the family: The signal recognition particle (SRP) is a universally conserved ribonucleoprotein. It is involved in the co-translational targeting of proteins to membranes.
Source: Rfam by way of RNAcentral
GCUGGGUGUGGUGGCGCGCGCCUGUAAUCCCAGCUACUCGGAGGCUGAAGCAGGAGAAUCGCUUGAACCUGGGAGGCGGAGGUUUCAGUGAGCCGAGAUUGCACCACUGCACUCCAGCCUGGGCCAGAGCAANNNNNNNNNNAGGCGGAGCUUGCAGUGAGCUGAGAUCUGGCCACUGCACUCCCGCCUGGGCAACAGAGCGAGACUCUGCCUCAA